Molecule: long non-coding RNA, 5095 nt
Filed under: Ricinus communis (castor bean)
Lineage: Eukaryota; Viridiplantae; Streptophyta; Magnoliopsida; Malpighiales; Euphorbiaceae
Description: long non-coding RNA (RCOM_LNC000888)
Source: RNAcentral
GAUUUUGCAACGGUUGCCUGCCUAACAGCUCUUUCUGCUAGGGGAAAUGGUUGAAGUGACCUUUCCUGCACAGCAGGAAAGAUUGCUCCUUUUUACCCAGAGGUCUGUGAUGAUAGGUCUGCACAAGCAACCUAGCUUGUGCAGCCUCUGAGACCAGCUUCUUUUCCUAUUCCUUCAACACUCCCCCUCAAGGUGGGUUCGAGUAAGUUUAUAGAACCCAUCUUGCGGAGGAUUGUAUGAUGAUUCUGCUUAUCAAGAGCUUUUGUGAAUAUGUUUGCCAGCUGGUCUUGACUUUUGAUGUAGGGAGUCUCAAUCUCUCCCUUUUGAACCUUCUCCCUAAUGAAGUGACAAUCAACUUCAAUGUGCUUGGUUCGUUCGUGAAACACGGGAUUUGAUGCGAUGUGUCGAGCAGCUUGAUUAUCGCAAUGCAUUUGCAUUGGUCCUUUACUUGCAACUUUCAUGUCUUUGAGGACUUGUUUGAUCCAAAUGAGUUCGCUUGCGGUGGAAGCCAUUGCACGGUAUUCAGCUUCGGCGCUUGAUCUGGCCACCACACUUUGUUUUUUACUUUUCCAUGUUACCAAGUUUUUUCCUACAAAGACACAGUAACCAGUGGUUGAUUUUCUGUCACAACUUCCAGCCCAGUCUGCAUCAGAAAAACCAACUAUGUUAGUAGUAUUGUUCUUUUUCAUCCAGAUUCCUUGUCCGGGAGUUCCCUUGAGAUAUCUGAGGAUUCGAUCUAUAGCUUCUAGAUGACUGGUGCGAGGGGCAUGCAUGAACUGGCUUACUGCACUAACUGCAAAUGAAAUGUCAGGUCUAGUGACAGUAAGAUAAAUCAGUUUUCCUACCAAGCGCUGAUAGUGCCCUAUGUUAGUUAGGAGGUCUCCAUCUUCUAAGUUGAGCUUAACUUUGGUUUCAAUAGGGGUGAAGGCUGGUUUGGCACCUAUUUUUCCAGUUUCUUUCAAAAGGUCGAGGGUUUAACCCCUUGUUGGAUUUUGCCAUUUCUAUGCCUAGAAAGUAUGAUAAUUGAUCAAGAUCUUUGAUAUUGAAUUCUCGUUUCAGACUUUGUUUGACAUCCUCUAUACUUUGAUCAUCAUUUCCUGUUAUUAUAAUAUCAUCAACAUAUACUAAGACAACAAUGGUGAGAUUAAGAGUGUUUUUGACGAACAUAGAUGAGUCAUUCACAUUUGCUGAAAUUAAUGCUUAAUAAAAAACGACUGAGUUUAGCAUACCAUGCCUUCGGAGACUGGUUUAGGCCAUAGAUAGCCUUCUUUAGCUUACAUACCAUGGAUGUGUCUGAGGCUGACUUAUGACCAGGAGGUAGUUUCAUGUAAACUUCUUCUUCUAAAUUACCUUGUAGGAAUGCGUUCUUGACAUCCAUUUGAAAUAGGCUCCAGCCCUGAUUAAUUGCUAUUGAGAGGAGGAUUCUGACUGUAUUCAUCUUGGCCACUGGAGCAAAUGUCUCUUGAUAGUCAACUCCAUAAGUUUGAUUGAAGCCUCGGGCUACAAGUCUGGCCUUGUAUCUCUCAAUAGUUCCAUUACUGUUAUACUUGAUCUUGUAUAUUCAUUUGCAUCCCACAGGUUUUUUUAUCUUUUGGGAGACGGACAAUACUCCAGGUGUCAUUUUUCUCUAAGGCAUGAAGUUCUUCUUCCAUAGCCUUACACCAUUUAGGGUCGGUGUUGGCUUCGUAGAAACUUGUGGGUUCAGCGUGUUUUGAGAUCUGACAAAGAUAGUUGCGAUAUUGGUUAGAUAAGACAUUGUAAGAAAUGAACUUUUGGAUUGGAUAUGUUACCGAAUGAGACACGUAGUCUCUAAAUUUUACAGGAGGUCUGGAUAGGCGAGUUGAUCUUCUCAAGGCAAUUUCUUCUUCGUGAGGCUGCAUUUCUCCCCCUGAAGGAAGCGGCCUUGAGACAGUCGGAGACUCCCCCUGAGGCGGAUAGCCUUGUUCAGAGCUGCUAAGAGAGAAGUCAAAGUUAAGCGGAAAUAAAGGCUGACACGGAGGAGAGGGGAAGGGAACAGUGGUGGAGGGUGAGUAGUAGGGUUCGGUUUCCACAAAGGUGACAUCACGAGAAACAUAGGUUUUGUGGUUGAAAGGAUCAUAGCAUUUGUACCCUUUUUGGGUGGAGGAAUAGCCUAAAAAGAUGGUCUUGACUGAGCUUUUGUCGAGUUUAUGUGAGCGUUUGAUAUGAACAUAACAAACACAUCCAAAAACUCGGAGGUGACCAAGAUCUAUUUUUCGAUUUUUUAGAACUUCUAGAGGGCUGAGAUUUUUUAAGGUGGCAGUAGGGAGGCGAUUUAUGAGGUAGGCUGCAGUUAACAGGGCAUCCGACCAAAAAUUAGAAGGAGCAUAAUGCUGAAAAAGAAGAGUGCGAGACAUUGAGAAGAUGUCGAUUUUUGCAUUCAGACACUCCAUUUUGCUCGGGGGUAUUAACACAAGUGGUUUGAUGUAUGAUACCAUGAUUUUUAAAGAAAGCAGAAAAAUUGUGAUUUACGUACUCCGUACCAUUAUCGGAGCGAAAUUUUUUUAAUUUUGCAUCAUAUUGAUUUUUUAUGAAAUGAAAUAAAUCUUGAAAACGAGAAAAAACUUCAUUUUUUCCUUUUAAUAAAUAUAUCCAGGUGGUGCGAGAGUAAUCGUCAAUAAAUGUGAUAAAAUAACGAAAAUGAUUAUAGGCAGUAACGGGAGCGGGUCCCCAAACAUCAGAAUGAAUUAAAUCAAAAGCGUUUUCAAACACAGUAGAUGACAAGGAAAAAGGGAGCCGCGUAUGUUUUGAAAAUUUACACACAUCACAAUUGCUAGAAUUUAAUUUGGAACAAAAUAAUUUAUUUAAAAUAAUAUCAGAAGGAUGCCCAAGUCUUUGGUGCAUAAGCAUAUCUUGGGACGAAUUGGCGGACACAAAACAGGCCUUGGAAGGGUUAUGCAGAUAAUAAAGACCAUUAUGUAAUUGUCCUUCACCAAUCGUCUUCCCGGAAAUUUGAUCCUGAAACAUGACCGAAGAUGGUAAGAAAAUAAUAUUACAAUUUAAAUCGCGAGUAAUUUUGCCUACAGAUAAUAGAUUAGAUUUAAAAUCGGGCAAUAAUAAAAUAUCAUGUAUAUUUGACUGAAGUAAAUUUGUAGUGCCAUAUCCUUGAAUUUUGACUUUGUUUCCAUUAGCAACUGUCACAUGAUGAGAAUCAUUAAUAGAGUGAAUUUUUUGUAAUUAGGUGGGAUCCCAAGUCAUGUGAUCACUGGCUCCAGAAUCAAUAAUCCAAGUAUUAUGGCAUUUAUGAGAUAAAUUUAAUAGUGGUUGGACCGAACCUGACCCAUCGAUGGGUUUGAACCGAACCGGCUGGGCUGCUGGACCAAGGCCUGGAGUUGGGCUGCUGGACCAAGGCCUGGAGUUGGGCCAAUAUGUCUGCCAUUUGGGCCUGAGAAGGCUGAUGGGCCGAGUUAGGAGACUGGGCCGAGUAGGCUGGGUCGGGUUAGGCUGGCUGGGUCGGCUGGGCCGAGUGGGCCGCAGUUUGUUGGGCCUGAGAAGCCCACAAAGACUGUUGGGCCGAUGACUGAAAUGGGCCGAAGUAUGGAAGGGCCUGGCCUGUCGGGUCGGGUUUGAUUAAAGAUACCUGACCCGGCAUAUAUCCCUAACCCUAUAUCCCUUUCCCCCAUUCUCUCUCUUUUCCAAUUUUCCUCUCUCCUGCCGCCGCCCCCUCUCCGUUCUCCUCGUCCCCCUCUUCGCACAGCGCCGCCGUCCCACGCUCGUGAAGGCCGCAAGUGCGGGUGGAUGUGCCAACACGCCUCGCGGGUGUGACCCUGCCGUUGGCAGUGGUCACAGCGCGCGCUGCUUGGCCCUCCGCGCGGACGAGCGCCUUCGCAUCGUGCGUUGUUGGCGUGGUUGUCUGUGUGUUGCGGGGGGGAGGAGCUGCUCAUGGUGUUCCUCCGCGUUUCUUCGCGCUGAACACUGGCGAUGACUUCGUCGAUUCGGGGAAGCUCGGUUGUGAGGAGAAUCUGCGAUCUCAAGCUUUCAUAGCUUGGAUCUAGUCCUCCAAGGUAAGUAUAUACCAAAUCUUGUUCGUUCCUUUUUUGAAUUUCUUGUGGGUCGAUUGAAGGCGGAAUGUAGUUCUGCAACUCUUCCCAUUGAGUGAGAAUUUCGGUUGCAUAUUGUGAUGAAUUUUUGGUACCCUGCGUGAUUUGAGCUAACUCAUGUUUGAGUCUGAAAAUGUGAGCAAAGUUGUGUUGUUGGCCGUAAAGGCUUUGCAUUUUUUCUCAAAUUGUUUUUGAUGAUUCCAUCAGGAUGCAGAAACGGGAUAUUUGGGGCUCCAUAGUAUUUGUGAGCCAAGACAUGACCAAAUGGUCAGAUGUCUGCCAUUCCUCUAUUCUGUCAAUUUCUUUCUCGGUUGGGGCUUCCGGCCUUUCUGGUUUUGGCCGUUGUUUUGUUCCCGUAAUGAAUCCCAACCUUUUUCUGCCACUGAGGGCAAUAUACACAGUUUUGGACCAUUCGAAAUAGUUGGAGUUGCCUUUGAGAAUGAUAUUGGUUAAUUUUUCAUUUUGAGACAUGGCUGGGAUUUUUGUUUUGAAAAAAAAUGGUAGAUGAUGGUUACUGGUGAAAACCAGGCUCUGAUACCAUGUGAAAAGAGCAAUGAAGAUUGUGAUAUAUUGAAAACUAAGAAUUCUGAGUUUCUUUACAUGAAUAUGUUGGUAUAUAUACAGAGAUGUUGUAUUGACAAGGAUUUUGCAACGGUUGCCUGCCUAACAGCUCUUUCUGCUAGGGGAAAUGGUUGAAGUGACCUUUCCUGCACAGCAGGAAAUGUUGCUCCUUUUUACCCAGAGGUCUGUGAUGAUAGGUAUGCACAAGCAACCUAGCUUGUGCAGCCUCUGAGACCAGCUUCUUUUCCUAUUCCUUCAACAACAUACAUAUAGUUAACAAUCUUAUUGUAAAAUUCACUUUUAUAAUACAAUAGAAAGAAUUACUUUCCUGCAAAAUGUUUUGAUUUAGCUCGACAAUUGUUCGACCCUUAACUACAAUCUUAGUAGUUGAGGAACCCAAAGAAAUAUACGUAGCUGUUAGCUAUUGAUUUGAACAAGAAAUCAUGAUAUGAACUGAAGAGCAUAAUAUUCUAUUG